Non-coding RNA from Prunus avium (sweet cherry), 563 nucleotides. The record is from RefSeq and is a predicted model, not a curated record. NCBI's taxonomy places the organism in Eukaryota, Viridiplantae, Streptophyta, Magnoliopsida, Rosales, Rosaceae.
CUCAAAAAUAAUAUUUGGUUUUAUUAUUUUUGUGGAAAAUAUUAUUAAGUCGUGUGACUAUUUUGGAUGUUGUAUGAUUUUGGUUUGGUGUGGAAAUAUUGGAAUUAAGUGACUUAAUCUCAAUUUGGGACAAAAUACCUUUAUGAUUAAGUUUAUGAUUUUACAAAGGAAGUACAAGAAAUUGAAGCGAGAAAAUUAUGAUUUUUGAUUUGGAAAAUCGAGAUUGAUCUCACGAACGCGUAGGCGCAAACGGUUCGCGAAUCCGAGUUGAAAUGAAGAAGUUAUGCUCGAUUGAAGUUUUAGGGACUUAUUUGCAAAAACUAAACAGUGACAGAUUUUGGUUUAUAUUUUGUGGAGGGUUACUGUGCAAAUCAGAUUUCUCAUUUUGGUCCCCGGAGGUUUGAGAGCUCAUCGGAGAGGCGAUUUCCGACGGCUUCUGCGGCGGCGUACGGUGGAGGUGAUCGACACCACCAACCCAGAUAGAAAGCCUGCUAUCUUUUGAACAUAACCCAAGAAGAAUCGGAGCCAUAGGAGGUGUGGUGAAGGCAGGGCGACGCCUCGAA